AACCAUUUACCAUAAGUUCAUAUCAUCGUAAACUAGACUUAACAUUCCGAAAUUCCAAAUAAGAGAGAUAUUCUAACACUUUUACAAGGUAUAUCCAUUUCGGUUCAUCGACAACAUUUCAUUACAUACAAAAUAUACUUAUACAACAAUAACAUAAUAACCAACAAGACUUGCCCAUAAUUCUGAAUAGCUCUCCACUACCUCAGCCCAAUUCAAAA
This 218-nucleotide long non-coding RNA is filed under the name Musa acuminata (dwarf banana). Its description in RNAcentral is "long non-coding RNA (MACU_LNC003391)". The record is from RNAcentral. Lineage: Eukaryota; Viridiplantae; Streptophyta; Magnoliopsida; Zingiberales; Musaceae.